AUUGAACGCUGGCGGCAGGCCUAACACAUGCAAGUCGAGCGAGCGGCGGACGGGUGAGUAAUGUCUGGGCAACUGCCUGAUGGAGGGGGAUAACUACUGGAAACGGUAGCUACUACCGCAUACCAUCAGAUGUGCCCAGAUGGGAUUAGCUCGUAGGUGGGGUAACGGCUCACCUCGGCGACGAUCCCUAGCUGGUCUGAGAGGAUGACCAGCCACACUGGAAUGGGGACACGGUCCAGACGCCUACGGAAGGCAGCAGUGGGGAAUAUUGCACAAGGGGCGCAAGCCUGAUGCAGCCAUGCGGCGUGUGGGAAGAAGGCCUUCGGGUGGUAAAGCACGUUCAGCGGGGAGGCGUUACCCGAAGAAGAAGCACCGGCUAACUCCGUGCCAGCCGCCGCGGUAAUAC
Molecule: ribosomal RNA, 406 nt
Filed under: uncultured bacterium
Lineage: Bacteria
Description: partial 16S ribosomal RNA
Rfam family: Bacterial small subunit ribosomal RNA
Source: RNAcentral